GACUCUCAGCAAUAGAUAUCUCAGCUCUUGGAUCGAUGAAGAAUGUAGCGAAAUGCGAUACUUGGUGUGAAUUGCAGAAUCCAAUGAACCAUCGAGUCUCUGAAGGCAAGUUGUGCCUAAAGAAAUUAGGCUGAGGGCAUGUCUGCCUAGGCAUCA
Capsicum annuum is the source of this 156-nucleotide ribosomal RNA. RefSeq annotates it as 5.8S ribosomal RNA. NCBI's taxonomy places the organism in Eukaryota, Viridiplantae, Streptophyta, Magnoliopsida, Solanales, Solanaceae. The transcript has a single exon. The record is from RefSeq and is a predicted model, not a curated record.